UACGUAGGGUGCGAGCGUUUGUCCGGAAUUAUUGGGCGUAAAGGGCUCGUAGGCGGUCUGUUGCGUCGGUAGUGAAAACUCAGGGCUUAACCCUGAGCCUGCUUCCGAUACGGGCAGACUAGAGGUAUGCAGGGGGAGAACGGAAUUCCUGGUGUAGCGGUGAAAAUGCGCAGAUAUCAGGAGGAACACCGAUGGCGAAGGCGGCCAUCUGGACGGAUACUACGUGAGACGCGAAAAGCGUGGGGGAGCAAAACAGG
This 257-nucleotide ribosomal RNA is filed under the name uncultured bacterium. RNAcentral describes it as "partial 16S ribosomal RNA". It matches the Rfam family "Bacterial small subunit ribosomal RNA", at positions 524 to 776 of the family's 1533-position model. The record is from RNAcentral.